This 1495-nucleotide long non-coding RNA is filed under the name Equus caballus (horse). Its description in RNAcentral is "lncRNA (ENSECAG00000058931.1)". The record is from RNAcentral. Lineage: Eukaryota; Metazoa; Chordata; Mammalia; Perissodactyla; Equidae.
CCCAACUUCAAGAAUCCCAUACUGGACAAGAAGAAAUGGUGGCCAUUGGAGGACUCUGUGCUUUUGAAUGAUGCCUCAAGCUGCAGUGCAGUGAAUGAUUCCAUCUUGAGUGGACCCAUCGCCAGUUCAGAGGCUCUUGUAGUGAUGCAGGGGGACGUAAAUCUACCUGAAGAUAAAGAUGUAAAAGGAAAUGCUCAAUUUUCAUAAGAUUGUAACUAAAAAAAUUAAUGAAGACGUUUUAGUGUUAUAAUUCCUGUAAGCCCCCCAGUACAUAGUUGUAUAUUCUUCAUUGUGGGUCCUUCCAGUUGUGGCAUGUGGGACGCCGCCUCAGCGUGGUUUGAUGAGCAGUGCCGUGUCCGUGCCCAGGAUUCGAAACCAACGAAACACUGGGCCGCCUGCAGCGGAGUGCGUGAACUUAACCACUCAGCCACGGGGUAAGCCCCUGCAGCUGUUAAAUUUUGCAAGUCAAGAUCAAGUGGAGAAGGAGAUGCUACCAGAUGAGGAAAUCAAAGCCCAGAGAAGUCAAGCAACUUGUCCAAGAUUGCAGAGCUGGUGUGUCUUGAGGGGAAAAAUCAAGAAGCAUCUUGAACAGCAGCAGCUGUAAGCAGGGAAUAAUGGGCGGCAGGCAGACUGAGAAGCCAACAUGUUUUUCUGAAUGGAGGCUUCUGGGCUAAAGAAGAUCCCAGUUCUGUUGGAGGAGCAUGGCCCUGGCCCAGCACCUUGUUCUGUUCCAAGCAGAUCGUUCAAAGGGGAUUUUAAGCUCCCAGAAAAUGGGGUCUUUGUCUAAUUCACUGCCACGUCCUCAGCACCUAGCGCAAUCCUUGACCCAUAGCACGUGUUCACUAACUGUUUGUGAAGCAAAUGAAUAAACGGACAUCUCCCCAGGCCUGCAGGCAAAGGACAGAGGGAAUUUGUGACAAAUCGUUACCUCACAUUCACGUUUUCUCAAAUGUGACCCCCUAUACUCAUGCUACCAGAGGAGAAAGUCCUUCCGUGUAGUUAAGGGAAAGGAUUUCUUUAGCUCCUCUCUGGUGAAGUCACAAAUAAUCUCUCAGAAGGCAUUAUUUAUUUUACUUUGUCUUUUUUUGUUUUAAUAAAUGAAAUGGCAUGACGGCUCACCAGCUGCUUUUUGCAAUGAAAAAAGAUAACACAUUGCGAUUGCCAGAAACAGAUGUUGAAGAGGCCUAGAAAUCUGAUUUUUCCACAUCAGGGACCCUGUUGUGUAUUGAAAUAAAUUGACGGGUUUACUGGAAGCUAGAUUGUUGGUUUCUUUGAGGUUGCUCGCUCAUUGCAUUAGAGAAGGGGUCCGGGGAACGCCAUAGAAACGGAUGGGCCCCGGAGGAGCCCUUGCCUGCCACGGGCUCCUGCUACUUCGGGCUGACUGGCUCCAUGUAACACAGCAUUCCCCUGCCUGCUCACUCAUUGCCAUCGUUGACCCAUGCCCGGUGUAAACAUGGAUGGGGUGGACAGAGACAGUCUAUUCUGGUUAAUGAAU